Molecule: long non-coding RNA, 558 nt
Organism: Lemur catta (Ring-tailed lemur)
Lineage: Eukaryota; Metazoa; Chordata; Mammalia; Primates; Lemuridae
Exons: 4
Source: RefSeq, a predicted model, not a curated record
AUGUUUUUGGAGACAAGUACGCUGAUGAGAGAAUGUGGAAGAGGCUUUUGUACAGUGUGCAAGAAAAAUACCUAACAAAAUUGAAUCAGUGGGCCCAGUGAGCUGCAGGAGGACGCAGAGACUGCAGGGCUGUCACAGGCACUGACGGAGCAGGGUUUCCCUCCUGGUGGUGCUGACCUGUCUGACUGCCGAGAGCCGAUCAGAAGCGCCACCUCCCUGUCUGCUGAGCCUGAGGCCGAGUCUGUUCUGGAUGGAGCGGAGUGUGGCGAGUUCAGGGAUGUCCUGGAGUCCGUGCUGGGGGUGAGGCUGGACUUCUGGGAGGAGGAGCGGGCAGAGAUGCCGACCCUGGAGGACGAGCUCAGGGAAGCCAACAGGCUCAUUGACCAGCAGGCCCAAGAGCUGACCCGAUUGAGGCAGGUGUUGCGAGAGGGGAGAGAUGGCUCGUUUCUCCUCAAGCAGCACCUGCAGGCCAUCCUCCUCCAGGACAAUCCUGACAGCUGCCAGGGCCAGGACCUCCGUGAGCACCUGGCAGAGGGGCGCAGGCUGGCAGAGCACCUC